UUGUACUCAAGACGUAAUAUAUUCUUCCCUUCCCUCCACUCUUUAUCAUGAAACCCUCAAACCCUGUCACAUGGCUGUCAGAGGAAGUCGGUGUGGUUUGCUAACAGCCAAGAGACAGUCAAAACCUCUCCCCAAGCAAAGAUGGGGUCUUCAGGGGCAAUGUUUCCUGCGGGUGCCCAUUUGAUGCGAAGUGUCUCAGAUCACAGGAUUCCAAGGAUAAUCAGGCAUUGCCAAAGCAGCCAGGAUGUCUCCAGGUCACAGGAUUCCAAAGGUAUAUAUUUUCCUCUAUUUUUAGAAUAUUUUUGAAAAAAUAAUACCAGAGUCCCAAUUUUGUCGACAUAAUUGCCUCAGUUUUCCACUUGAGGAGUGAGGUUUCAGUGGUAAGAUACAAGGUAAAUCAAAUGUUCUUCUUGUUCUUUAUAUUUUACAUUGUGACAAAUUUAUACUGUUUCUUAAGACUUACAUUUAACGAGAUGUCCCAUUUCCUGAAAGUCCUGCCAACUAGUUACUACUUUUGAACCUGGUGCGGCAACAUACUAACCCUGUAAGUCCUCUUAACUAUAUUCCAAACCUUUAUUUGAGCUAAAUUUCCUACCUUCAGGCUGUUUCAUUUGCAGAAUUUUACCUUAUUGCCUGUUAAGUAUAUGGCCAACCCUUAAUUAUUCAGAAACCUAAAAUUCAGCAUUGCUUCUAUACUUUGUUCAUUCAUGUUUGGUUAGCACUUCCUGCUCAGGAAAAACAAGGCAUAUUUUGUACUGUGGAGGUGGAAAGGACCAACCACCAAGAAUCUUAAUUAUUAUCUCUGGUUUAUGGUGUAGAAAAUACCAGAAGAAAUAGUAAUGCACUUAGCAUUACUGAAUUUCAGUGAUUAUAGCUUUUGAGGCUCACCAGAAAAAAAAAAGUGUUAUGCAAAUUUACCUCUUUCUCUUCUUUAUUUCCCUUCCCCAGCAAAAACAGUAUAAAUUGUUAAAAGUCUUCUGGUGACUUGUCAUAUUUGGCACUAGUUUAAUUGGUCUUGGCAAGUGUAUUUUAGUGACUCAUAAGAGAAUACUUUUAGUCUCUUUACUAACAGAUGCCUGUGCUAAAAGCAAUGACAACAAUGUCACAUGGCUAUAAAAUUGCAGGAAUUUGCUGCCGGUGGUCCAAUAAAAACAAACUUGUAUGAAAAGACA
This 1172-nucleotide long non-coding RNA is filed under the name Felis catus (domestic cat). RNAcentral's name for it is "lncRNA (ENSFCAG00000049324.1)". Lineage: Eukaryota; Metazoa; Chordata; Mammalia; Carnivora; Felidae. The record is from RNAcentral.